AUACGGAGGGUCCGAGCGUUAUCCGGAAUCAUUGGGUUUAAAGGGUCCGUAGGCGGGAAUCUGAGUCAGUGGUGAAAUCUUGCAGCUCAACUGUAAAAUUGCCAUUGAUACUGGAUUUCUUGAAUUAGUGUGAAGUGGUUAGAAUGUGUAGUGUAGCGGUGAAAUGCAUAGAUAUUACACAGAAUACCAAUUGCGAAGGCAGAUCACCAACACUAUAUUGACGCUAAGGGACGAAAGCGUGGGGAGCGAACAGGAUUAGAAACCCUAGUAGUCC
This 274-nucleotide ribosomal RNA is filed under the name uncultured bacterium. RNAcentral describes it as "partial 16S ribosomal RNA". It matches the Rfam family "Bacterial small subunit ribosomal RNA", at positions 523 to 796 of the family's 1533-position model. The record is from RNAcentral.